AGUGAACGCUGGCGGUAGGCCUAACACAUGCAAGUCGAACGGCAGCACAGUAAGAGCUUGCUCUUACGGGUGGCGAGUGGCGGACGGGUGAGGAAUACAUCGGAAUCUACUUUUUCGUGGGGGAUAACGUAGGGAAACUUACGCUAAUACCGCAUACGACCUACGGGUGAAAGCAGGGGAUCUUCGGACCUUGCGCGAUUGAAUGAGCCGAUGUCGGAUUAGCUAGUUGGCGGGGUAAAGGCCCACCAAGGCGACGAUCCGUAGCUGGUCUGAGAGGAUGAUCAGCCACACUGGAACUGAGACACGGUCCAGACUCCUACGGGAGGCAGCAGUGGGGAAUAUUGGACAAUGGGCGCAAGCCUGAUCCAGCCAUACCGCGUGGGUGAAGAAGGCCUUCGGGUUGUAAAGCCCUUUUGUUGGGAAAGAAAAGCAGCAGGUUAAUACCCCGCUGUUCUGGCGGUACACAAAGAAUAAGCACCGGCUAACUUCG
Molecule: ribosomal RNA, 490 nt
Filed under: uncultured bacterium
Lineage: Bacteria
Description: partial 16S ribosomal RNA
Rfam family: Bacterial small subunit ribosomal RNA
Source: RNAcentral